This 199-nucleotide unclassified non-coding RNA is filed under the name uncultured Phaeococcomyces. RNAcentral describes it as "sequence contains ITS2". The record is from RNAcentral. Lineage: Eukaryota; Fungi; Ascomycota; Eurotiomycetes; Chaetothyriales; Herpotrichiellaceae.
AUCCCCCCUCAAACCUCGGGUUUGGUGUUGGACCGACGUUGGUCGUUACCCCGACCAACUGGUCUCAAAGACAAUGACGGCGUCCGUGGGACCCUCGAUACACCGAGCUUUCUUUUCGAAGCACGUACCGAGUUGCAAGGACCCACGCCCGCCGGUCGCUCUCCCCUUCUCGGAGAAAACGCAAGUUUUUUUCACAAGG